AAAAGGGGGCAACUAACAGCCAUAAUGGGGCCACUAACUUCAGAAAGUUGAGCAACUAAAGUUGACUAAGUCUAGCUAGAAAAUAGGAAGCACUAAAUUGAAAUAAGUAAAAAACAGUAAAAAAUAAUAAUAAGCUGAAAAAAUGUCAAUUGUCUAAUAGAAUCUAAGUAUAGUGAUAAAUAAAUAGAUAUAACUGUUAAGU
Molecule: unclassified non-coding RNA, 202 nt
Filed under: Hevea brasiliensis (rubber tree)
Lineage: Eukaryota; Viridiplantae; Streptophyta; Magnoliopsida; Malpighiales; Euphorbiaceae
Source: RNAcentral